Molecule: ribosomal RNA, 503 nt
Filed under: uncultured bacterium
Lineage: Bacteria
Description: partial 16S ribosomal RNA
Rfam family: Bacterial small subunit ribosomal RNA
Source: RNAcentral
AUUGAACGCUGGCGGCAGGCCUAACACAUGCAAGUCGGACGGUAGCACAGAGAGCUUGCUCUCGGGUGACGAGUGGCGGACGGGUGAGUAACGUCUGGGAAACUGCCCGAUGGAGGGAGAUAACUACUGGAAACGGUAGCUAAUACCGCAUAACGUCGCAAGACCAAAGUGGGGACCUUCGGGCCUCACACCAUCGGAUGUGCCCAGAUGGGAUUAGCUAGUAGGUGGGGUAAUGGCUCACCUAGGCGACGAUCCCUAGCUGGUCUGAGAGGAUGACCAGCCACACUGGAACUGAGACACGGGCCAGACUCCUACGGGAGGCAGCAGUGGGGAAUAUUGCACAAUGGGCGCAAGCCUGAUGCAGCCAUGCCGCGUGUAUGAAGAAGGCCUUCGGGUUGUAAAGUACUUUCAGCGGGGAGGAAGGCGGUGAAGUUAAUAACUUCACCGAUUGACGUUACCCGCAGAAGAAGCACCGGCUAACUCCGUGCCAGCCGCCGCAGUAA